CUCGCUCUUAUAAGGAUGCGUGAUGGCAUUAGGCCCAGCGGGAUGUGCUUGGUUGUUUCCUCAAGUUUCUUCCUCUCUUCCUCCCUCCCUCCCCUUCUCUCUCUCCCUUUCUUUUAUAGCCACUGUGGACAACUUAAAAAAUUAAAAGCCGAGCUACCGCAUGAUCCCACAACCCACUGCCGGGCGUCCCUCACGGCUUGCACCUAGGGCGGAGUACUUCUCCUACCCAGGAGUUUCACAUGAAUAAUGACUGAUUCUGUUCAAUGAAACGUUAGCAGCAGUAAUGAUAACCAGAGCUGGGCUGGCAGAGAUAACCAUGGUCCUGGACAGCAGUGUGACUGGUGCAGGUGACCUGGAGGUGAUCUAGGUACAUGCAUCAGGAGACUUCCAAAGUCUGCACACACUGGCACACAAUUCAGUGCCUCCUAACCCUGCUGCUCCAGAAUCUCACCGUUAAGCCUACAGAUCCCUACACAAUCCCUUGCCUGGAUUUCUUUCUCCUGUUGAGUUUCCUGAAUCCUGAAAGUGUAACUGAGAUGUUCCCAAACUCAUCUUCAUGCAACAACUAAUGCAUGUGACACAGCUGAGGCAUGCCUGCUACCUGGGAUGAACUCUCUGAAGGCAGGCAUCAUUUUAUGUCAAUGAGGAGUUCAGGGUGGGCCACCCCAAAUAUGCUUCUCUGGCAUAUUGAUUAUUUUGAGCGGAAGGCUCUUGAGAAACAGCAGAUGCAGGAAGGUGUCUCUGAG
This is a non-coding RNA of Odocoileus virginianus texanus, 746 nucleotides long. The record is from RefSeq and is a predicted model, not a curated record. NCBI's taxonomy places the organism in Eukaryota, Metazoa, Chordata, Mammalia, Artiodactyla, Cervidae.